CCUGUUUCCUGUACCUGCCUCUCUCUUCCCAGCCCCAGAUUCCAGAGGCAGCUGUCACCAGCAGGGAACCCAGGACAUCCUGGGACUCAGCUGAUUGGCCUCUUGAUGAGGAUGCCCAAGGGCAGCAACCGCCCUGGGAUCACCACAGGUGCAAGCGAAGCCCCUCCUCCCACCACGUCCUUAACCCCCUAACACCCGCAAGCUCACAGUCCCCGUCACAGAUGAAGAGACUGCAGCUCAGGGAGGCCACAGGACCUGCCAGUAGGUGUUUUCACUACCACAAAAGUGCCCCAAGAAACAUGGGGGACGCCAGUUAGUCACCCAAGGGCACAGCCAGAGGCUGGGAAACACCCGGGAUGGCCCGAGGAGGAGGAGAAGCCCUGGGAGUGUUCCCUGGGUGUGUGCCGGGGCAGAGUGCCAUAAACCCGGCAGCUCACACGCAGCAGAGUCCUCCCAGGGUGCUGGGCCUGAAGACGGAGACAGACGUCAGGCGGUGUGCUCCAGGCCUCUCCCUCCGCUGCUGCGGGUGACCCCGACUCCACGCCACGCCACUCCCAUGCCACCUUCAUUGUCAUGCGGCCACCUUCUCCCUGCAUCUGCCUCUUAUCAGGACACCAGUCCCAUGGGACUGGGGCCACCCAACCCAGCAUGGCCUCUUCUUAACCAAUGACAUCUGCAAAGACACCCUCUCCAAGGAAGGACACUCCCCAGGUGCAGUUGGUCAGAGGUCUUUCCAGGGGACACGUCUGAACCUCUUAGGGGCCCAGAAUCCUGCAGGCUUGCUCCUCCCUCCCCUCCACCAGACUUUCCUGGCUUUCUGUGGGGAGAGGAGCUGGGGGGGCCCUGCCUGGACAGGCCCUGUGCAGCCGGGCAGCUCCUGAGCCCACCCUGCUCUGCUCCCACACACCUGCCCAGGCUGCGGCCCCAUCUCCUUAAUGCAAGCAGGUCUUGGUGCUUGGUGAAGGUUAUUUUCAGCCAAGCAAAAAAUAUCUUUGUAAGAAGGAAUUUUUAAGAUCCCAAGAAAAAUAAUGAUGGCACCCAGCAGCUGUUAUUAAGUCUAUUUUUGGAGAACUUCGCUGGUGCUGUUAAUCCCACCUUACCUCUUGCUGCAGAAACUGACAUGGACCUGCACCUGGCGGGGCUCCGGGCCUGCUGUGUCUGUGCAGGCCAAGUCGAGCCCCAGGGUCCAGCUCACUGCCCACUGCCCGCCACUCAGCAGAGGAAGGCCACUAAGUCCCAGGACAGGAGAGAGGAGUCCCACACACACCAAGACAGACGGCUGCCACAGCCCGAAUGCCAGGGACAACGCCAGGCAGCUGUGUCCUGCUGGAAAGACAAUCAGGGUAUCCAGGUCACCUUGGCUGCCCUGUGCAGACCACAGCUAGGAGAGGCCCGAGCCUUACCAGGAGGAGAAGCCCAGGCGCUCGCUGCAUCUGCUGGCCGGGCUGAUUGACGGGCACCUGUCAGCCCUGGGUCAGUGCCAGCUGGGCCUUGAGGUCCCUGCCACGGCUUUCCCUCAGAAUUCCCAGGAGCCCUGAGAGCUGCCACCACCUGGAUGCCAUCCCAGCCGCCUGGUGUGGCCUGGUGUCCAGCUCUCAAAGUUGCCAGGUGGCUCUCACUUGCACCAGGUUGAAAGGUGGGACGGGCGGUCCCCACUCUCUGGGCAGGUCCCUCUGGAAGCUUUGCCCAGACAAGGCCCCAUGGGUGGACUCUCUCAAGUGCUGGCUCCCCUGACCCCGUAGUCUCGUCAGCGGCUGCCGUCCACGCAGCCAGAGGCAGGGCUGUGGCCCCCUGCUCCUGCCCUCACACCCACCAGGGCACCUGCGGGUCGGAGCAUCCCACAGGAGCAGCUGCCGGCCUCCUCCAGGCCUCCUGCUGCCCGCUGCCCCGCCCCUCUAUGGGGAGUCUCUCCUUGUUUUUCAGCACAUGGCUAAGAAGCUAAGAAGCGUCCUUCUCAGGAAGAUCUCCUGACCCUCCCAAGUGCACGCCCAGCUUCCCUACUCCUGGCCCCAGGGUCAAGGGCAGGGAGCAGGUGCCUCCUAGAGGAGCUCCCUGCGGGGCAGGGCCUCUGUGGUUAUUCACCAGGUGGGGACACCUGACAGGGCUUUGGUCCCCGCAACCCAGGGGCCGCCAGAGGGGACACAUGCUCUCAGGCACCAGCCCCAAGCCUUGGGCAGCUGUGUCCUGCUGGGAGGACAGGCAGGAGGGCGGCUCUCCCCUCUGCUACUCUGGCCCUGUCCCUGACCACAGGUGCCAUCUGUCUGCUGUGCCUCAGGCUGUUUCCCCACACCCCAGCCUCCCAGCGGGGCCUCUUGAAGGGGCAGUGAUCUAUCCCAUCCCUUAAUCGUUGCUCCCGGAGGUCGAGAUCCACAAACAAAGGCUCCUGUGCCCUGGGCUUCUUGCUGUUUGUCCUGGUUGAUUUCUCUGUCUCACGGCAGAGCUGAGUCCAGGGGGUGAGAGUUGUCCCAGGAAGCUCCACACAAAGUCCUCUUCUGCCCAUGGAGGCCUGGGAACUGGCUGAAAGGGGCCCGGGGACCUGGGGGGACGGGGACAGGAGCCUGCAAUAGGAUGGGGUGGGCAGAGGUGGAGUGCCUGCCAGCCCUUGGUCUUGCCUGCUCUCCGGGGCACUGGCUCCUGCCAGCUCCUCACUCCCCAGGUCUAUGCAGAGCCUGGGGGCCUGGAGAGCGUCCGACAGCAGGUUUUAGACUGUACAUCAGAGCGUCCCGCGGAGUGUAGGAGAACCCGGGAAACCCAUCCCACCCUCCAGGCCUCCGGGAUAAGGCCACCAGAUUUAUCAAAUGAAGUUUCAAGAAGCCCAGCUAAAUUUGCAUUCCAGGAGGUUCUAGAAGUUUCUUCCAGAAACUCGGGGACACUGGAGAGAGUGUGCGAGUGAUUCAACAAAAAUCUGUUUCAACACUGCCCGACGGGAACACAAGCCAAGGCCUGGCAGUGUGUAACUAUCGCACAAAGGGUUAACCCCACGGACAAGACGGCUGCUCUUCAAUGUAUCUCAAUCACAGAUCUGUAUGUGCAUGUCAGCAGUCAGUGGCAUAUUGAAUUUUUUCACACUGUUUACCUAGCAUAAUUUGCAGUUGGUCUGUAUUUGAUUAAACACCAUCAUCUUUUA
This is a non-coding RNA of Ictidomys tridecemlineatus (thirteen-lined ground squirrel), 3127 nucleotides long. Lineage: Eukaryota; Metazoa; Chordata; Mammalia; Rodentia; Sciuridae. The record is from RefSeq and is a predicted model, not a curated record.